Molecule: ribosomal RNA, 427 nt
Filed under: uncultured bacterium
Lineage: Bacteria
Description: bacterial SSU rRNA
Rfam family: Bacterial small subunit ribosomal RNA
Source: RNAcentral
UAAGGAAUAUUGGUCAAUGGGCGCAAGCCUGAACCAGCAAUGCCGCGUGCAGGAUGAAGGCCUUCGGGUUGUAAACUGCUUUUGUACGGAACGAAAAGGCUCUGGUUAAUACCUGGGGCUCAUGACGGUACCGUAAGAAUAAGCACCGGCUAACUACGUGCCAGCAGCCGCGGUAAUACGUAGGGUGCAAGCGUUAAUCGGAAUUACUGGGCGUAAAGCGCGCGCAGGCGGUUAUGUAAGACAGAUGUGAAAUCCCCGGGCUCAACCUGGGACCUGCAUUUGUGACAGCGUAGCGAGGGUACGGCGGAGGGGGAUAGAAUUCCGCGUGUAGCAGUGAAAGGCGUAGAUAUGCGGAGGAACACCGAGGGCGAAGGCAAUCCCCUGGGCCUGUACUGACGCUCAUGCACGAAAGCGUGGGGAGCAAACA